UGAGCUAUCGACUAAUCGGCAAGUCACCUAGAUUUGGUCUAGUUCAUACACGUUCGAGUCGUGUUAGCUCAG
RNAcentral lists this transfer RNA (72 nucleotides) under Candida gigantensis. RNAcentral's name for it is "tRNA-Gln". The record is from RNAcentral. Lineage: Eukaryota; Fungi; Ascomycota; Pichiomycetes; Serinales; Debaryomycetaceae.